GUGGAAAUGGGCAUCCCGGUCUCGUCAUAGAGCUUCCUCUUCACUGUACUUUUAAUCUGGACCCUUCGGGAAGAGGAGACAAGAGCUACCUCUGAAAACAUCUCAUUGGACACGUCACCCAGACGCGAAUGGAGCAAAGUAGAGAGAUAAUGGGUAAGAGACCAAGACCUGGUAAGGAAUACAAUGAUAGAAGGCCAUUAGGAAUGAAAAGAGACGGUGGUGUCCUUACACGGUGCGUUCCUUGAUGACAGCGCUGAGGGAGUUCAGGUCAUCACCAAACCUCACCACGGCCGAUCUCAGCUGCCCAAUCUCAGUGUCCGUCCACUUAGCUCUGCAAUGAGACACAGGGCGUUUCAGAACCACUAGACUACAUUGCAGUCGCACUGCACAGAUCUACAAAUCACCUAGCAUCCUAAAUAACUACACAUUAUGAUUUUGUAGAUCAGUCUGGUCAGUUGGUGAUCAGCGAUUGAUGCCCUUGAACGCGGCCAGAGACGAAGAGAGGGUGGAGACGAAGAGAGAGUGUCGAGUGCUAUCAGGUAUUAAUGACGCAACAGCGUUUCCUCAGAUUGACUUCUUGCCGGGGAUAUUCAAGAUGGAGCACAUAUCAGUGUAAUGUGUACAGUGUGCUACAAGUGACACAAGCCCAAAAAUUACUAAGUCAUGAUCAGUAGACUUAUAAAUCAGACUAGACUUGGAACACUACAUAAUCGAUACAGAUAUUUAUCUCUAUCUGUAACUUGGUGUGUGUAUUCUCACCCUGCGGGACUGGAGUCAGCCACGGGGUGCAGUUGCAUGGUCAGCUCCCCUAACUUGGUAAAAGCAGCUCCUGCUGCUGAGAAGAUCUCCCCAACCUUGAAAAUUAAAGCAGAAAACGCCUAAAUCAAUACCUUUGAAUUAUCCUAUUUUCUUUUGAGACAGUAGCAAAGGUCUUUCCACAUUGUUACGUUACAGCCUUAUUCCUUAGUGUACACACAAUACCUAUCCCAUAAUGACAAAGCAAAAACAGGAUUAGACAUUUAUUUUUUAAUAAAUAAUCACAUUUAAAUAAGUAUUCAGACCCUUCACACAGUACUUUAUUAAAGCUCCUUUGGCAGCGAUUACAGCCAAGUCUUCUUGGGUUUGACGCUACAAGAUGUAUUUGAGUUUCUCCCAUUCUUCUUUGCAGAUCCUCUCAAGCUCUGUCAGGUUGAAUGGUGAGUGUUGCUGCACAGCUAUUUUCAGGACUCUCCAGAGAUGUUUGAUUGGGUUCAAGUCCAGGCUCUGGCUGGUUCCCUCAAGGACAUUCAGAGACUUGUCCCGAAGCCACUUCUGCGUCUUCGCUGUGUGCUUAGGGUUGUUGUCCUGUUGAAAGGUGAACCAUCACCCCAGUCAGAGGUCCUGAGCAGGUUUCCAUCAAGGAUCUCUCUGUACUUUGCUCUGUUCAUAUUUCCGUCGAUCAUGACUAGUCUCCCAGUCCCUGCCGCUGAAAAACACCCCCACAGCAUGAUGCUGCCACCACCGUGCUUCACCGUAGGGAUGGUGCCAGGUCUCCUUCAGGGGUGACGCUUGGGAUUCAGGCCAAAUAGUUCAAUCAUCAAACCAGAGAAUCCUGUUUCUCAUGGUUCGAGGGUCCGAGAGUCUUUUAGGUGCCUUUUGGCAAACUACAAGCGGGCUGUUGUGCCUUUUACUGAAGAGUGGCUUCCGUCUGGCCACUAACAUAAAGUCCUGGUAGAUCCAAACUAUUUCCAUUUAAGAAUGGAGGCCACUGUGUUCAUGGGGACCUUCAAUGCUGCAGAAAUGUUAGAGUACCAUUCCCCAGAUCUGUGCCGACACAAUCUUGUCUCUGAGCUCUACAUACAAUUCCUUCGAACUCAUGGCUUGGUUUCUGCUCUGACAUGCACGGUCAACUGUGGGAUCUUAUAUAGACAGGUGUGUGCCUUUCCAAAUCAUGUCCAAUCAAUUGAAUUUACCACAGGUGGACAUCAAUGAAGUUGUAGAAACAUCUCAAGGAUGAUCAAUGGAAACAGGAUGCACCCGAGGUCAAUUUCAAGUAUCAUAGCCAAGGGUCUGAUUACCUAUGUAAAUAAGAUGGGUUUCUUUUAAUUAAUUUUCUAACAUUUUUUUUUUAACUUAACGCUGUGUCAUUAUGGGUUAUUGUGUGUAGAUUGAUUUGAUCUAAUCCAUUUUAGAAUAAGGCUGUAAAGAAACCCAAAUGCACUGUAUGAUCAACUGUAUUACAAGGCAAUGCCAUGUUGAAAACUUUUACGGACUACAAAGGGAAACCCAGAUGCGAGCAGCCCAGUGACGGAGCCUACCAGACGAGCUAAAUGUCUUAUCCUCGCAUCGAGGCCAGCAACACUGAAGCAUGCACGAGUGCACCUGUGUGAUAACACUCUCGGUAGCCGAUGUGAGCAAAACCUUUAAAAACAGGUCAAGAUUCAAAGUCGUGGGGCCAGACGGAUUACCAGGACGUGCACUCAAACCAUGCGCAGACCAACUGUCAAGUGUCUACACUGACAUUUUCAACCCCUCCCUGACCGAGUCUACAAUACCUACAUGUUUCAAGCAGACCACCAUAGUCACUGUGUCCAAGGAAGCAAAGGUUACCUGCCUAAAUGAUUACCGCCCCGUAGCACUCACAUCGGUAGCCAUGAAGUGCUUUGAAAGGCUGAUCAUGGCUCACAUCAACAGCAUCCUCCCAGAUGCGCUAGACCCACUCCAAUUCGCAUACCGCCCAAGCAGACCCACAGAUUACGCAAUUUCAAUCGCACUCCACACUGCCCUUUCCCCCCUGGACAAAAGGAACACAUUCAAGAUCCUUGGUGUCCACAUCACCAACGAACUAUCAUUGUCCAAACACACCAAGACAGUAGGGAAGAGGGCACAACAAAACGUUUUCCCCCUCAGGAGACUGAAUAGAUUUGGCAUGAGCCAGAUCCUCAAAAGGUUCUUCAGCUGCACCAUUGAGAGCAUCCUGACCAGUUGCAUCACCGCCUGGUCUGGUAACUGCUUGGCAUCUGACCGUAAGGCGCUAGAGUGUAGUGCAUAUGGUCCAGUACAUCAAUGGGGCCAAGCUUCCUGCCAUCCAGGACCUAUAUAAUAGGCGGUGUCAGAGGAAAGCCCAUAAAAUUGUCAGACUCCAGUCAGACUUUUCUCUGCCACCGUACAUCAAGCAGUACCAGAGCACCAAGUCUAAGACAAAAAAGCUCCUUAAUACCCCCAAGCCAUAAGACUACUGAACAAUUAAUCAAAUUGUUUUGUACACUGCUGCUACUCACUGUUUAUUAUCUAUGCAUAGUCACUUCACCCCUACCUACAUGUACAAAUUACCUCAACUAACCCCCACACACUGACUCAGUACCGGUACCCCCUGUAUAUAGCAGCAUCGUUAUUGUUGUGUUGUUACUUUUUACUUUAGUUUGUUUUCUUAACUCUUCUUUAACGGUAAGGUCUACACUUGUAUUCGGCGAAUGUGACAAAUAAAGAUUGAUUUGAUGGCAUAAUAUCAAAACAGGAUUAGUCCAUUUUAUCCAGCAUUGUUGUUUUGUACGGUUGCAAUGCAGACUUAAUCUUUAUUUUAAGAGAUCAUUAAUGAGGGGUUUUCCUCCAUGCAGACAGCGCCUUCGUGUGGUAGCUUCCAUUAAAAGUACAUGGAAGUGAGAAAAAAGUUAAUGCAUGACAUUGACAACAUUCAGCCACGUCCUGGGUCCUUGACUUAUUAUAACACGAAUAAUGUUUUUUUCUUCCUUCAAAAGUUGAGUUGCCUGGUAUAGGACAGUAAAAUAAAAAUGUAUCUUUGGAAUAACCCAGGUGAGCUUAAAUAGCGGUUACAUGGCUGCCAUUCGAAUUCGCUUGUUAGCUGACGACGUUAGGUAGCUAACAUGAGCUAGAUUUGUGCAGGACCUAGCUAACAGCAAGAUAUACGGCUAAAAUCAAAACGUGAGAAUGACCUACCUUCGUUGAGGCUGAAGUCAUUUUUCUUUUUGUAGUUGCUGAACAGAUGCAGAUUUUCCUGUGAAUAACGCCGUUUAGAGAAGCUAGCUAAGCUUCAGGUUAGUUAGCCUGGUUGCACUGCAGGCUCAGCUGUUAAUACAAAUACUAACUUCGUCCACGUCCUACAAUAUUCAUAUUUUUGUUUGCAGUCCGCAACUGUUUUCGGUGAGCCUGUGAAUUGUAUUAACACGGAUCUUAUGUUUUUUUGUUGUUGCAAUAAUCAGAAAUGUGUAGCUAAAAAUAAAUGACAUACACAAA
Salvelinus fontinalis (brook trout) is the source of this 4233-nucleotide long non-coding RNA. RefSeq lists it as uncharacterized. Lineage: Eukaryota; Metazoa; Chordata; Actinopteri; Salmoniformes; Salmonidae. The transcript is spliced from 2 exons. The record is from RefSeq and is a predicted model, not a curated record.